This is a long non-coding RNA of Rhinopithecus roxellana (golden snub-nosed monkey), 1932 nucleotides long. RefSeq lists it as uncharacterized. The record is from RefSeq and is a predicted model, not a curated record. The transcript has 4 exons. Lineage: Eukaryota; Metazoa; Chordata; Mammalia; Primates; Cercopithecidae.
CUCAGUUGCAGUGAGAUGUGAAGCACUUGCAGAGACUCAGUCCACCACCCUAGGCAGCUUUUCCAAGACUUAGGGACUGGCUUGCCAUGAUUCAUAGCUUCUGCUGUCCCUUGCUACCUGCCUUCUGUUUUGUCACAAACAACGAUUGCAACACCUGCAUAUAGGCUCAAAAUAAAGGGAUGGAGAAAAAUCUACCAAGCAAAUGGAAAACAGAAAAGAGCAAUUUCCUUCCUGAAAAUUCAUGCUCCAGCUCCCUGCCACCUCCAUAUCUCCCAGUCAGCCUCUUGUUGGCACACUGAAUCACUCUGGGGCCAGAAAAUUCUCAGUGGAAGCCCAGAGCUACAAGAGGCAAGAUACUUGACUUCUCUGCUGACAUGCCACCAAGAGAAGACAACAAGUUGCUAUUCAUUUUCAGAAUGUGGCCACAGGACAGUGUACCACACUGGUCUCUUCCUUCAUCAAUCAUUACAGCUCAUGACAAGUCUCUUCAGUUGAAUCUGGACCCCUUUUCCCAUACCCUUUCAACCAGGAAUUAUGUAAUAAUUUGAGGAUGUUGCAUGUUAGAUUCCAUUACUCUGCCCACACAUUCAACUAGUAAUUUGCUCACCACGAAUGUGUUUGGCCUAUACAUUUUAUCUCUAAACUCUUUGCUCUGACAUUCUUUAAAGUUGUGAUUCUAAUGUAAACCUGGAUAUAAUAUAAGUCUUUCAUUGAAGAUUCUCUACCCUCAAACCAUUUAAAAAAAAAAAAAAAAAAAAGGAAAAUGGGCCACUCGUAGUGUGCAAAAGAAGUCCCACUGAUGAGAGUGGACCUCAAUUGCAAUUGCCUGGUUUUUGCAAUUCUUCCUCUGAACAUCAAAUAUUGUGCUUUAAUUGCACUUGCAGAAAUCUAGUGACUACAGGAAGUUUAGGCAUCUUUAAAGUGGGUAUUUCAUAUUGCUUAGAGGAAAUAAAAUAUGAAUAGAAUAAUAUAAAUGUGAGAAUCUAAAUAUUAUUUCAAGUUUUAAAAUGUUGUAGUUAUUUAAUAUUUCACUUGGCCAGAAUAUUAAGCUAAUGAUUGCUAUCUGAAUAUAUUCAUUGGCUUUGUCCUUUAGAUAAGAAUAUUAAGCUUAAAAUAAAAUUGAUAGCAAUUCCACAUUAACCUUUGGGAUUACUAAUUACUAAUUAAAUUGGCAAAUGAGCUUCUGCCAGAAAAAUCUCAUUCUAACUCCAUAAAACCCAAAGAACUUUAAAAGCACUUCAUCAAGUCAAGAGAUUGGAAAAGAAAAUGUUAUUGGCUAGAACUUAUUAUUUCUGAAUUCAUUUUUUUCUCUAUCUAGUCUUUUAGCUUGCCUCUAUGAUUACAUUGGAAUAUAUCACACACUUUUUAAUCAUUUAGCUGUGCCCCUCUUUGUGUUUGUUUGUUCAUUCGUUCAUUCACUUAUUAUCUGUAUCAGUUAGCUUUGUUUGCAAUACACAGAAAUGGACGGUGACUAAGCAGAAAUAAAAACGUAAAUACAUGAAUUAUUAAAUAGCAUGGGAGCUCACAAAAUCAAAGGAAAAAUGAUGACCCAGUCUUUUUUUUUUUAAAGUCAAAAUGAAAGGUUCAUCAGUGAUCUAGGAAAGAAAACAGAUAGACGUUCUUCUUAAGGUACCAUUGUAUUGGAUGAAUGUGCUCUAAAAAGUGUGUGUGUGUGUGUGUGUGUAUGUGUGUGUGUGUGAAAGAGAGAGAGAGAGAGUUCACUUCCUCUAAAGUAGGUACUGAGCACCUGAGUUCAUGCUGUAUUCUAAAAAUGUACAUGUAUUUUAAUUGUAAUUCCUAUUUUCUAGUGGCUCAUAUGCAGACAGAGAAACAUUAUAUUUCUCUUGUAAGGACAUUUGGAUUAUGUCUAUGGUUUUUCAUUUUCGCUUGCUACUAUAAGCAAUGUUAUAAUAAACAUCCUGGUAAUAUAUG